This 514-nucleotide long non-coding RNA is filed under the name Coffea arabica (coffee). Its description in RNAcentral is "long non-coding RNA (CARA_LNC004389)". Lineage: Eukaryota; Viridiplantae; Streptophyta; Magnoliopsida; Gentianales; Rubiaceae. The record is from RNAcentral.
AGGCGGGGGCGAUUGGAGUGGGAUACACGUCAACUGCUGCCUGGAUUGCAUAUCAUCCCCAUGGGCUAAUAGGAAUGCUGGGAGCUUGGCCCGCGAUUGAAAGCAUUGGAAAAAAAGGGAUGGAUUGAGUGCGGGUGGUUCGAGAUCCUUACAUACGGAUAUACGAGUAGGGUUCAUACCUCUUGGUUGGCUGGUUGACACGAAGGGAUACGGUUUUUGGGAUAGAUUAGGUUGGACCUUCAGAUUUCCAAGAGUAGCUAGCUGGCCCCUAGCUUCUGUUCCAUUCCAUUCCCAUUUCUUGAAAUUGAGUCAGGAUGUUUGUUUCCAAUUACUUCAUUCCAGUGACUCCUCUGCUUCCAUCUCAUUUUUCUGGUCACGUAAGGGAAGCCGCGUCUCUCAAAGCACCUAGCUUAGAUGAUGAAGCAAGUGAUCCUAUGGAGUAAAGGUGUGUUCGAAUCCUUUCCAUCAUGAAGAAAUAAGUGGUUCGACUCCCAAUGCAGGCUAAGCUCCCCCG